AUUGAACCUCGUCCCACCCACCCCCUCAAAAAAAAAAUUCAGGAGAAAAAUAAUCAACUUAUUUGCUAUAGAAAACGUCUUGCUAUAUGUUAUUAAUGUAUCCAUCCUUGUGCCUUGUGCUUAAUGGGAGGUAGGAGAAGCAUGGAAGACAGUGCUGAGGGCAAUUUGAACUGUGGAAGCCUAGCUCAAGAAAUAUCAGAGGGGAUAUUGUGAAAAGCAAGUGGGCAAGGAGAAAUGCUGAAUGUACAGUUUGAGAAAGGGAGCACAGGGAAAUGUAAUGGCGCUAAAUCCAGUGUUCAAGGAGAUAAAAGGUUUAAAGAAAAGCCUGAUGCUAAAAGGAAUAAAGGGAAUGGUGACCCAGGCAAAACCCUACCCAGCUAAGCUUCCACCUUUUAAAAAGAAGUUAAAGAAAAACUUAAGCAGUGAAGAAAACGAUCAACAACAGAAAGCUGGUGCUAAUGUAAUUGAAAGAGAG
This 475-nucleotide long non-coding RNA is filed under the name Cricetulus griseus (Chinese hamster). RNAcentral's name for it is "lncRNA (ENSCGRG00015035982.1)". Lineage: Eukaryota; Metazoa; Chordata; Mammalia; Rodentia; Cricetidae. The record is from RNAcentral.